This 433-nucleotide ribosomal RNA is filed under the name uncultured bacterium. RNAcentral describes it as "bacterial SSU rRNA". It matches the Rfam family "Bacterial small subunit ribosomal RNA", at positions 368 to 793 of the family's 1533-position model. The record is from RNAcentral.
ACAAUGGGGGCAACCCUGAUCCAGCCAUGCCGCGUGAGUGAAGAAGGCCUUCGGGUUGUAAAGCUCUUUCGGCGGGGAAGAAAUGGCAACGGCUAAUAUCCGUUGUUGAUGACGGUACCCGCAUAAGAAGCACCGGCUAACUACGUGCCAGCAGCCGCGGUAAUACGUAGGGUGCGAGCGUUAAUCGGAAUUACUGGGCGUAAAGCGUGCGCAGGCGGUUUCGUAAGACAGACGUGAAAUCCCCGGGCUCAACCUGGGAACUGCGUUUGUGACUGCGAGGCUAGAGUACGGCAGAGGGGGGUAGAAUUCCACGUGUAGCAGUGAAAUGCGUAGAGAUGUGGAGGAAUACCGAUGGCGAAGGCAGCCCCCUGGGUUAGUACUGACGCUCAUGCACGAAAGCGUGGGGAGCAAACAGGAUUAGAUACCCUGGUAG